Non-coding RNA from Oryzias latipes (Japanese medaka), 913 nucleotides. Lineage: Eukaryota; Metazoa; Chordata; Actinopteri; Beloniformes; Adrianichthyidae. The record is from RefSeq and is a predicted model, not a curated record.
GACACUUCCUGCUCAUGGUGAGGGGUAGCUAAAUAUUUAAUGACAUGUCACCUGAUAGAGAAACAAGAUAACUGGAAUACUCAAUGAAGCUGUGAGCACCAGAGGGGACAGAGGAACAUCUCUGACAGUCUUGGUCUGAACGGCGUUGUGCGAGGUGCAGCGAGACGACAGAAGAACCCAGUAGCUUCAUUAUGCUUCCAGUCUUGUAACAGGACAUACUGCCAGGAAGCAGCCUCUGGGUUGUUCGGAGCUGCACAGCUUGCCAAGUGAAUACGACCUCAUGGGCACGGCUGGCGUGGGCGUGGCUUGAGGAGAGACUCUUAACUGCCUCAGCAGGAACAUCAGGAGAACAAUAUUUCUUGCUCUCGCCACACAUAUGGCACUGUUUUUCUUUCUUCACGCCUUUACACAGCACAAAGUAUAAAGAGAGAGGACGCUGAGAAAAUGGAUGGGGAAAAGGGUGACAGGAUAGCGAGAAAUGGAGAAUUAAGCUGAAAGAGAAACAACCAGGUAGAAAGAAGACAGAAAACUAGAGGUGCAAUAAAAGAGUAUUUCCAGGAGAUGAAGAGAAAAAGGCUUGAGAGGGUAUGAAAUGUGAGGAGGGAACAUGAUUUUGUUUUCAGCAGUGUCAAGCUGCCACAGAAAUAUGUUUACCAGCAUCUACUUUGCCAUUAGUGACACUUGGGUGAUCCUGUAGACAGAACAAAAUAGGUUGAUAACUGCCUCAUGUAUUUUCCAAAUUUCCCCAUAGCUCUCCAUCUGCUGGAGGGCAGCCGUCCUUAUGCCUCCUCUUGUCUCUUCAUUUGUCCCCGCUCUCUGUCUUGUUUUGGUCCUUGGCUUCUGUUUCCUUGUGGUGUUCAGGUUUUUCAUUUGUGGUUGUCAUGGAUGAAUAAAACCUUUAAGGCUGGGCUAA